RNAcentral lists this ribosomal RNA (492 nucleotides) under uncultured bacterium. RNAcentral's name for it is "partial 16S ribosomal RNA". It matches the Rfam family "Bacterial small subunit ribosomal RNA", at positions 29 to 507 of the family's 1533-position model. The record is from RNAcentral.
AGUGAACGCUGGCGGUAGGCCUAACACAUGCAAGUCGAACGGCAGCACAGUAAGAGCUUGCUCUUACGGGUGGCGAGUGGCGGACGGGUGAGGAAUACAUCGAAAUCUACUUUUUCGUGGGGGAUAACGUAGGGAAACUUACGCUAAUACCGCAUACGACCUACGGGUGAAAGCAGGGGAUCUUCGGACCUUGGGCGAUUGAAUGAGCCGAUGUCGGAUUAGCUAGUUGGCGGGGUAAAGGCCCACCAAGGCGACGAUCCGUAGCUGGUCUGAGAGGAUGAUCAGCCACACUGGAACUGAGACACGGUCCAGACUCCUACGGGAGGCAGCAGUGGGGAAUAUUGGACAAUGGGCGCAAGCCUGAUCCAGCCAUACCGCGUGGGUGAAGAAGGCCUUCGGGUUGUAAAGCCCUUUUGUUGGGAAAGAAAGGCAGCAGGUUAAUACCCCGCUGUUCUGACGGUACCCAAAGAAUAAGCACCGGCUAACUUCGUG